This 213-nucleotide ribosomal RNA is filed under the name uncultured soil bacterium. RNAcentral describes it as "partial 16S ribosomal RNA". It matches the Rfam family "Bacterial small subunit ribosomal RNA", at positions 26 to 243 of the family's 1533-position model. The record is from RNAcentral.
AGGACGAACGCUGGCGGCGUGCUUAACACAUGCAAGUCGAGCGGUAAGGCCUUUCGGGGUACACGAGCGGCGAACGGGUGAGUAACACGUGGGUGAUCUGCCCUGCACUCUGGGAUAAGCCUGGGAAACUGGGUCUAAUACCGGAUAUGACCUGCUCUCGCAUGGGGGUGGGUGGAAAGAUUUAUCGGUGCAGGAUGGGCCCGCGGCCUAUCA